GGGGCGGGCCAGGGCUGAAAGCCGGGUGUGGGAAGCUUGGCGGUCCCGCCCAGUCUCCUGGACCAGCAGAGGACACGGGCGCUGCUGCAGCUGCAGGGAUUGGAGAUCACAACAGAGUCGUGCGGUGUGGGCCUGAAGUUCCCUCAGAAUAUCCACACAUCUCCCCAGCCCACCAUGGCAGAGGUGCAUUUCACUGGAGAUGCAGGGGCUUCCAGCAGUUCUCCUAUGCAGUGCUCAGCCCUGCACAAAAAUAGCUUCCUGGUGCUUAAAGGGGAACCAAGCAAAGUCAUAGAGAUGUCAACUUCCAAGACUGGGAAGCAUGGUCAUGCCAAGAUACGCCUUGUUGGAAUUGACAUUUUCACUGGCAGAAAACAUGAAGAUAUCUGUCCCUCUACUCACAACAUGGAUGUUCCAAAUAUUAAGAGAAAUGAUUAUCAAGGUGCAGUUCCCUCCUUUUUGAAGUUUCCAUUCAUUAUCCUUUGAAGGACUGGAUUUGUGGAAAGGAUAUGUUAUCCCUAAUUGCGGGAAGAGGCCAAAGUUCAUAUCAAAUAUUCAGAUUCGUACCAGAAAAACCACACUGGUCCCUGAGGGAUAAGAUUUACACUGAACUACAUAUUAACUGUAGUGAAGAAUCUGUGCUCAUAGUAGCUUCCGUUUUAAAGUAUUCUACUGAAGAUGCCAUGUACAAAUUACAUCCUGCUAAAACAGCUCUUCUCUGUGCUAUUAAAAUGAAAACCUCUACGAGGAAUCACUUAGACACCUACACCUUAUCUGUCUGCGUAGCCCCUCAUGUGCUGUGGGAUCCAACUUACUGAACUCAUGAUUUGAGAGUGACCUCCCAAAAUAGAUAUCUAUCAUACAUAUCAUGAUUGACAACUGUGUAGAUAUAUUUGGAUAGAAUAACAAUAUCGUUGUGACCAUAACCAAAAGAGGUCAGAUGACAUAAAGACAUCAGUAAAUACUGCUGCAGGGGAAAAUGAAACAACUUCAACAUAUAUCUUUUCACAAUGGAAAUUUCCUCAUGACUGAAGAAGUUGCUGGUCAUUUUAUUUCAAUGUUCCCUUCUACCUCCCUCUUAACCACAGCAGAAGCGAUUAUUACGAGAAACAACUUCAGUUUUAUAUUUAACCAUAUUGUUACAUAGUUUCACUCACUAUAUUUAUUUUAUGUUGU
RNA transcript from Apodemus sylvaticus (European woodmouse), 1173 nucleotides. It is a transcript of the gene named eukaryotic translation initiation factor 5A-1-like, with no coding region annotated. The record is from RefSeq and is a predicted model, not a curated record. Lineage: Eukaryota; Metazoa; Chordata; Mammalia; Rodentia; Muridae. The transcript is spliced from 8 exons.